This is a long non-coding RNA of Triticum urartu, 849 nucleotides long. RefSeq lists it as uncharacterized. The record is from RefSeq and is a predicted model, not a curated record. Lineage: Eukaryota; Viridiplantae; Streptophyta; Magnoliopsida; Poales; Poaceae.
UGCUCCCUCCCUCCCUCGAACCCUAGCUACCCCUCGUCUCCCCGCCUCCAGCCGCACCCGCCGCCGCACCCCAAUCCCCAGUCUGGCUCUCCACCUCACGACGAUGUGGUUCUCCCGGCGAUGACCCCCCUCCUCAUGCCCUCUCCGACGUCCCUCUUCGCACGAUACUCGCCCCUGCGUGCACGACUUCCCCCUCCUCCUCCCGCGCCGUUCGCCGCCCCGCAAACUCCGGCAGCCAUUAUCCGCCCUUCGCCGCGGGAGCCUCCGUAGGAGCCGCUCGCUGCUGGAGCCGCCGCCCGAGCAGCCGCGGGAGCCGCUCGCCGCUGCAGCCGCCGCCCGCGGGAGCCACUCGCCGCUCGCCGCAGGAGCCGGAAGGCGAGAAGGAUCGGCGGAUCCAGGCCCCGGCGUGGUCCUCUCCCUUCAACUCGCGCCGCCGACCUGGGCUCCCUCUUCUUCCACGGCCACAGCCUGGGGUUGCUGCCGGCUAGACGAAUAAUUAUGUGCAGGCUGCCACGACAAAGGGUUUGACUCCUACAUCAAUUUCAUCAAGGCUGCUGUUCUUGACACUCCUGAUGUUGUUUUUCAGAGCAAUGCCACGCUAAGUUACUCGCUCAAAGGGUGACAACCUGCUAUGGGGUGGUUCUCUUAUUAAACAUGUGAGUAAUAUAACCUGCUAUGGGAUGGUUCUCUUUAUUCCAUACUGCCUAAACUGACCACUGUUUGCAAGCUUUAGUGCUUAUCUACUAUACCACUAUAAAAGUACGAAAAGGCGAAGAAUCAAAUCAUUAUAUCCAUCCAAAUCUGCAAUCUAAUGAUUUACAUCCUUUCAAAACACCAAAUGCAUUUUAU